GAUGAACGCUGGCGGCGUGCCUAAUACAUGCAAGUCGAGCGAACAGGCGAGGAGCUUGCUCCUCUGACGUUAGCGGCGGACGGGUGAGUAACACGUGGAUAACCUACCUAUAAGACUGGGAUAACUUCGGGAAACCGGAGCUAAUACCGGAUAAUAUAUUGAACCGCAUGGUUCAAUAGUGAAAGACGGUUUUGCUGUCACUUAUAGAUGGAUCCGCGCCGCAUUAGCUAGUUGGUAAGGUAACGGCUUACCAAGGCAACGAUGCAUAGCCGACCUGAGAGGGUGAUCGGCCACACUGGAACUGAGACACGGUCCAGACUCCUACGGGAGGCAGCAGUAGGGAAUCUUCCGCAAUGGGCGAAAGCUUGACGGAGCAACGCCGCGUGAGUGAUGAAGGUCUUCGGAUCGUAAAACUCUGUUAUUAGGGAAGAACAAAUGUGUAAGUAACUAUGCACGUCUUGACGGUACCUAAUCAGAAAGCCACGGCUAACUACGUG
This 497-nucleotide ribosomal RNA is filed under the name uncultured bacterium. RNAcentral's name for it is "partial 16S ribosomal RNA". It matches the Rfam family "Bacterial small subunit ribosomal RNA", at positions 28 to 507 of the family's 1533-position model. The record is from RNAcentral.